GAUGAAGAACGCAGCGAAAUGCGAUAAGUAAUGUGAAUUGCAGAAUUCAGUGAAUCAUCGAAUCUUUAAACGCACCUUGCGCCCUUUGGCAUUCCGAAGGGCAUGCCUGUUUGAGUAUCAUGAACACCUCAACUCUUCAUGGUUUUCCAUGAUGAGCUUGGACUUUGGGGGUCUUGCUGGCCUGCGGUCGGCUCCUCUCAAAUGAAUCAGCUUACCAGUGUUUGGUGGGCAUCACAGGUGUGAUAACUAUCUGCGCUUGUGGUUUUCCACCAAGUAACCUUCAGCAGUGGAGGUUCACUGGAGCUCACAGACGUCUCUCCUCAGUGAGGACAGCCCUUUGAAUGUUUGAUCUCAAAUCAGGUAGGACUACCCGCUGAACUUAAGCAUAUCAAUAAGCGGAGGA
RNAcentral lists this unclassified non-coding RNA (403 nucleotides) under soil metagenome. RNAcentral describes it as "partial contains 5.8S ribosomal RNA, internal transcribed spacer 2, and large subunit ribosomal RNA". The stretch from base 1 to 120 matches the Rfam family "5.8S ribosomal RNA", at positions 35 to 154 of the family's 154-position model. The record is from RNAcentral.